This 654-nucleotide ribosomal RNA is filed under the name uncultured Bacteroidota bacterium. RNAcentral's name for it is "bacterial SSU rRNA". It matches the Rfam family "Bacterial small subunit ribosomal RNA", at positions 52 to 694 of the family's 1533-position model. Lineage: Bacteria; Pseudomonadati; Bacteroidota. The record is from RNAcentral.
CACAUGCAAGUCGAGGGGCAGCAUCUCAGUUUGCUUGCAAACUGGAGAUGGCGACCGGCGCACGGGUGAGUAACACGUAUCCAACCUGCCGAUAACUCGGGGAUAGCCUUUCGAAAGAAAGAUUAAUACCCGAUGGUAUAAUUAGACCGCAUGGUCUUAUUAUUAAAGAAUUUCGGUUAUCGAUGGGGAUGCGUUCCAUUAGGCAGUUGGUGAGGUAACGGCUCACCAAACCUUCGAUGGAUAGGGGUUCUGAGAGGAAGGUCCCCCACAUUGGAACUGAGACACGGUCCAAACUCCUACGGGAGGCAGCAGUGAGGAAUAUUGGUCAAUGGGCGCAGGCCUGAACCAGCCAAGUAGCGUGAAGGAUGACUGCCCUAUGGGUUGUAAACUUCUUUUAUAUGGGAAUAAAGUUUUCCACGUGUGGAAUUUUGUAUGUACCAUAUGAAUAAGGAUCGGCUAACUCCGUGCCAGCAGCCGCGGUAAUACGGAGGAUCCGAGCGUUAUCCGGAUUUAUUGGGUUUAAAGGGAGCGUAGGUGGACAGUUAAGUCAGUUGUGAAAGUUUGCGGCUCAACCGUAAAAUUGCAGUUGAUACUGGCUGUCUUGAGUACAGUAGAGGUGGGCGGAAUUCGUGGUGUAGCGGUGAAAUGCUUAGA